UGGGGAAUUUUGCACAAUGGGGGAAACCCUGAUGCAGCAACGCCGCGUGAGUGAAGAAGGCCCUUGGGUUGUAAAGCUCUUUCGGUUGGGAAGAAGGGUGUGAUGGUUAAUACCCAUUGCAUUUGACGGUACCAGCAUAAGAAGCCCCGGCUAACUUCGUGCAAGCAGCCGCGGUAAUACGAGGGGGGCAAGCGUUGUUCGGAAUUAUUGGGCGUAAAGGGUGCGUAGGCGGUUUGGUAAGUCUGAUGUGAAAUCUAUGGGCUCAACUCAUAGUCUGCAUCGGAAACUGCCGGGCUUGAGUGUGGGAGAGGUGAGUGGAAUUCCUGGUGUAGCGGUGAAAUGCGUAGAUAUCAGGAGGAACACCUGUGGCGAAAGCGGCUCACUGGACCAUAACUGACGCUGAUGCACGAAAGCUAGGGGAGCAAAC
Molecule: ribosomal RNA, 427 nt
Filed under: uncultured bacterium
Lineage: Bacteria
Description: bacterial SSU rRNA
Rfam family: Bacterial small subunit ribosomal RNA
Source: RNAcentral